UACGUAGGGUGCAAGCGUUGUCCGGAAUUACUGGGUUUAAAGGGUGCGUAGGCGGGCAGGUAAGUCGUAGAUGAAAUGGCCGCGCUUAACGUGGGCCGCUGUCUGCGAUACUGCCUACCGUGAGGGAGGUUGAGGUAGCUGGAACGAGUGGUGUAGCGGUGAAAUGCGUAGAGAUCACUCAGAACACCAAUUGCGAAGGCAGGCUGCUGGACCUCUUCUGACGCUGAGGCACGAAAGCGUGGGGAGCGAACAGG
RNAcentral lists this ribosomal RNA (254 nucleotides) under uncultured bacterium. RNAcentral describes it as "partial 16S ribosomal RNA". It matches the Rfam family "Bacterial small subunit ribosomal RNA", at positions 524 to 776 of the family's 1533-position model. The record is from RNAcentral.